AACUUAAAGGAAUUGACGGAAGG
RNAcentral lists this non-coding RNA (23 nucleotides) under Arabidopsis thaliana (thale cress). RNAcentral also lists the same sequence under 4 other names. The record is from RNAcentral. Lineage: Eukaryota; Viridiplantae; Streptophyta; Magnoliopsida; Brassicales; Brassicaceae.